UAUGAUCUGUACGGGUUGUGAGAGCAAGAGCCCGGAGAUGGAACUGAGACAAGGUUCCAGGCCUACGGGGCGCAGCAGGCGCGAAACCUCCGCAAUGUGAGAAAUCGCGACGGGGGGAUCCCAAGUGCCAUUCUUAACGGGAUGGCUUUUCUUAAGUGUAAAAAGCUUUUGGAAUAAGAGCUGGGCAAGACCGGUGCCAGCCGCCGCGGUAACACCGGCAGCUCUAGUGGUAGCUGUUUUUAUUGGGCCUAAAGCGUUCGUAGCCGGUUUGAUAAGUCACUGGUGAAAUCCUGUAGCUUAACUGUGGGAAUUGCUGGUGAUACUGUUGAACUUGAGGUCGGGAGAGGUUAGCGGUACUCCCAGGGUAGAGGUGAAAUUCUGUAAUCCUGGGAGGACCACCUGUGGCGAAGGCGGCUAACUGGAACGAACCUGACGGUGAGGGACGAAAGCUAGGGGCGCGAACCGGAUUAGAUACCCGGGUAGUCCUAGCCGUAAACGAUGCGGACUUGGUGUUGGGAUGGCUUUGAGCCGCUCCGGUGCCGAAGGGAAGCUGUUAAGUCCGCCGCCUGGGAAGUACGGUCGCAAGACUGAAACUUAA
Molecule: ribosomal RNA, 598 nt
Filed under: uncultured archaeon
Lineage: Archaea
Description: bacterial SSU rRNA
Rfam family: Archaeal small subunit ribosomal RNA
Source: RNAcentral